GUUCAGAAGUUUGGCUCUGAUUGGAAAACGCAGAACGUCUCUUGCGUCUCAGUGGGCCGGGCUUGCUUAUGAUGGGUGGGGCUAAGGGCAGUUGCCCAGGGCGUGGAAUAGUAAUGAUUGUCUUACCUGAGUUAGUGCUGCAGUUGUAAAGUUAAGUGCUGGAGAAGUUUGAUUUCUGCCAGUGGCGAGGUCAGGCUAUAUGUACCGCUGAAGGACUACGAAGUCCCAGAUGUGAACAACGGGCUUCCUGUUCCUGCAGCCAGCUGUGCCUGCUGAAUGCUGGUGCGCCCAUCCGCCACCAGGAACUCCUAUCCCUCUGGACUGUAAGCCCAAAUAAACACUUCUUUCUGUAA
Molecule: long non-coding RNA, 353 nt
Organism: Mastomys coucha (southern multimammate mouse)
Lineage: Eukaryota; Metazoa; Chordata; Mammalia; Rodentia; Muridae
Exons: 2
Source: RefSeq, a predicted model, not a curated record